Molecule: ribosomal RNA, 449 nt
Filed under: uncultured bacterium
Lineage: Bacteria
Description: bacterial SSU rRNA
Rfam family: Bacterial small subunit ribosomal RNA
Source: RNAcentral
GUCGAGAAUCUUUCACAAUGGGGGCAACCCUGAUGGAGCGACGCCGCGUGGAGGAUAAGGUCUUCGGAUUGUAAACUCCUGUCAUGCGUGAACAAGGUUGCUUGGUUAAUACCUGGGCAAAUUGAUGGUAACGCAAGAGGAAGAGACGGCUAACUCUGUGCCAGCAGCCGCGGUAAUACAGAGGUCUCAAGCGUUGUUCGGAAUCACUGGGCGUAAAGGGUGCGUAGGUGGCGUGGUAAGUCAGAUGUGAAAGCCCGGGGCUCAACCUCGGAACUGCAUCCGAUACUGCCAUGCUAGAGUACUGGAGAGGUGACUAGAAUUCUCGGUGUAGCAGUGAAAUGCGUAGAUAUCGAGAGGAAUACCAAAGGCGUAGGCAGGUCACUGGACAGUUACUGACACUGAGGCACGAAGGCCAGGGGAGCGAACGGGAUUAGAUACCCCAGUAGUCC